Myotis brandtii (Brandt's bat) is the source of this 1386-nucleotide long non-coding RNA. RefSeq lists it as uncharacterized. The transcript is spliced from 3 exons. The record is from RefSeq and is a predicted model, not a curated record. NCBI's taxonomy places the organism in Eukaryota, Metazoa, Chordata, Mammalia, Chiroptera, Vespertilionidae.
UAUAUAGCUCCUCACAGAGACAGUGCCCAAAGGGGACUUGGAAUUUUGCCCAGGAGGCCUGCCUGUGGCCUCCAUUUGACUGGGGCAGCCUAGGAAUGAGUCAGAAACAGCCCCUCCACCCUUCCCCAUCCCUGCCCCUUCCUCGGAAGCUCUUUGACUAGAUUAGGGGUUGGCAAACUUGGUCCAUAAAGGGCCAAGAGUAAAUACUUUAGGUUUGUGGACCACAUGGUCUCUGCUGCAGCUAUUCAACUCUGCUUUGCAGCAAGAAAGCAGCCAUAGAGAAUCUGCAAAUGGAUGAGUGUGGCUGUAGCCCAAUACAACUUUACUUUUGGAACUGAAAUUUGAAUUUCUUGUAAUUUUCACAUAUUACAAAAUAUCAUUUUUUUGGUGUGUUUUUUCAAUCACCUGAAAACAUAAAAACCAUUCUUAGCUCAUGGGCUCUACAAAAACAGGCAACAGGUUAUACUUUGCUGACCUCUGGAUAGUGCUCCUUGGAAAAAUGUAACUGCUUCAUUACCAGGGCCCCGGGGAGAAGAACCAUCACACAGCUUGGGAAGAGCCACAGACUGCUCCCUGGACCUCCAAGUGGAGUCCUCAUGAUGGAGGCUUCAUGGAAAAAGACGCCCGGGACAGACUUCCCAGCAAAACCACUUGCUAAGUGAGUUCUUUUCUGACACGGCCACACCUGGCCACAGGUCACCUGGAUCACAGCACUCAGCAGGGCCAAGCAGGUCUGCAGGGCCUUCCCCUGCCUCUUUUAUCAAACCUCACACUGGGUGUCCCACCUGGGGCAGGCACGUCUCUUCAGUUUCCUCUGUUCUGCACCCAAUGCACUAGCACGCAUGGGUGGGCGCUUUACAAAAGCAUCUGAACACACAGAGGAGCUUCCAUCCCCUCUGCAUAACUAUAAUCAGGGAAACCAAGGGAAAAGGCCCAAAUCUCAGAGUGGAAAUUAUGUUUCUAAGGAAACAUUACCACCCCCACUUAUGAUUUUAAAAUGUACUACUAAUAAUGAGGUAUUGUUUCUACUUAUUGAGUCAAUAAAAUAGCAACAACAACAAAAAAAUAACACCCAAUCCCGCAGAGGCAGGCUGAGGGAACUGCAGACCAGCCAAUCCUUCCAGAAUGUAAUUUGGUGUAAGUCUCAAGAGCCAUCAAAAAAUGUAUGAACCAUCUGCUCCAGUAAAUUCCUUCCCUGGAAACUUAGUCGAAGAAGAUAACUUCAAAACCAAAUAAAAAGAUUUUGAACAAAAAUAUCGGUUUACUAUGUAUAAAGUCGGAAAUAAUCAAGUGUCUAACAAUUGAAGGGUUGAAUUUUUUUUUAAUUUUUUUUUUUUUUAAUUCUCAUGCAAGGACAUUUUUCCAUUGAUUUUUAGAGAGAGUAGA